CGACUCUCGGCAACGGAUAUCUCGGCUCUCGCAUCGAUGAAGAACGCAGCGAACUGCGAUACUUGGUGUGAAUUGCAGAAUCCCGUGAACCAUCGAGUCUUUGAACGCAAGUUGCGCCCGAAGCCAUUUGGUCGAGGGCACGUUUGCCUGGGUGUCACAC
This 160-nucleotide ribosomal RNA is filed under the name Eugenia arenosa. Its description in RNAcentral is "5.8S ribosomal RNA". It matches the Rfam family "5.8S ribosomal RNA". Rfam says of the family: 5.8S ribosomal RNA (5.8S rRNA) is a component of the large subunit of the eukaryotic ribosome. It is transcribed by RNA polymerase I as part of the 45S precursor that also contains 18S and 28S rRNA. Functionally, it is thought that 5.8S rRNA may be involved in ribosome translocation. Lineage: Eukaryota; Viridiplantae; Streptophyta; Magnoliopsida; Myrtales; Myrtaceae. The record is from RNAcentral.